CGGCAAAAAUAAUAGAAGCAAGCUACCCUACAAUCACACAAGUGGGUCGUGAUCUUUUCCAGCAGCGAUGAGUAUUGCGGUGAAGGAAAAUGGUGGAUUGUUGCCAGAUCUCUGUAAUUUCUACAAGGACACUCAUCAAAACAAGAAGACAAAAUAGUGGAUUGAUCCUAUAUGCGGAGCAAAUGACAAGGGUGUGGGAUGAGUCUAUCGAGGCUGGAACACCGAUG
Non-coding RNA from Camellia sinensis, 227 nucleotides. The record is from RefSeq and is a predicted model, not a curated record. Lineage: Eukaryota; Viridiplantae; Streptophyta; Magnoliopsida; Ericales; Theaceae.